GACAGAGGGUGCGAACGUUGUUCGGAAUUACUGGGCGUAAAGCGCAUGUAGGCGGCAGCGCAAGUCGGGCGUGAAAUCCCACGGCUCAACCGUGGAAGUGCACUCGAAACUGCGCAGCUAGAGUCCUGGAGAGGAAGGUGGAAUGCUUGGUGUAGAGGUGAAAUUCGUAGAUAUCAAGGAGGAGCACCAGUGGCGAAGGCGGCUCACUGGACCGGUACUGACGCUGAUGCGCGAAAGCGUGGGGAGCAAACGGG
This 254-nucleotide ribosomal RNA is filed under the name uncultured bacterium. RNAcentral describes it as "partial 16S ribosomal RNA". It matches the Rfam family "Bacterial small subunit ribosomal RNA", at positions 524 to 776 of the family's 1533-position model. The record is from RNAcentral.